CCGGCGACCGGCGGACGGGUGAGUAACGCGUGGGUAACCUGCCUUACACAGGGGGAUAACACUUAGAAAUAGGUGCUAAAACCGCAUAAGCGCACAGCUUCGCAUGAAGCGGUGUGAAAAACUCCGGUGGUGUAAGAUGGACCCGCGUCUGAUUAGCUUGUUGGCGGGGUAACGGCCCACCAAGGCGACGAUCAGUAGCCGGCCUGAGAGGGCGGACGGCCACAUUGGGACUGAGACACGGCCCAGACUCCUACGGAAGGCAGCAG
Molecule: ribosomal RNA, 266 nt
Filed under: uncultured bacterium
Lineage: Bacteria
Description: partial 16S ribosomal RNA
Rfam family: Bacterial small subunit ribosomal RNA
Source: RNAcentral